RNAcentral lists this ribosomal RNA (1676 nucleotides) under Zu cristatus (scalloped ribbonfish). Its description in RNAcentral is "16S rRNA". It matches the Rfam family "Bacterial large subunit ribosomal RNA". The record is from RNAcentral. Lineage: Eukaryota; Metazoa; Chordata; Actinopteri; Lampriformes; Trachipteridae.
UGCUAAAUAGCUAGCCCAAAUAACAUUUAAGUAGAAUAUAUAACUAAUCUAGUAAUACACUUAAAAUAUAAAUUAAAUCAUUUUCCCGCCCUAGUAUAGGUGACAGAAAUGGAAACAGGAGCAAUAGAACUAGUACCGCAAGGGAAAGCUGAAAAAUCCAAUGAAAAUACUUAAGCGUAGAGAAGCAAAGAUAACCCCUUGUACCUUUUGCAUCAUGAUCAAGCAAGUCAUUCCAGGCACAGAGCACUGUAGUCUGACACCCGAAACCAAGUGAGCUACUCCGAGGCACCUAGAUAGGGCUAACCCGUCUCUGUGGCAAAAGAGUGGGAUGAACGCUGAGUAGAGGUGAUAAACCUACCGAACCUGGUGAUAGCUGGUUAUCUAGAAAAUGAAUAUAAGUUCAGCCCCCGCCCCUCCCCUAGCCCCUAUAAUAGACGUAAAAUCAUUGGCUAUGGUAUUAAAGCUGGGAGUUAUUCAAGGGAGGUUCAGCUCUCUUGAAGGAGGAUACAACCUUAUUAACGGGAGGAUAAAAAUCAUUUUACUUAAGGUCACUACAGCCUUUGUAGGCCUGAAAGCAGCCACCACUCCUGAUAGCGUUAAAGCUCAAGCUGUAUCUACCCUAUUAUUCUGAUUAUAUGUUUUACUCCCCCUAACUUACUAGAUCACUCUAUUUGGAAAUAGAAGAGAUUAUGCUAGAACGAGUAAUAAGGGGUACUAUUUAACCCCUCCUUGCAUAAGUGUAACUCGGACCGGAUUCCCCACCGAAAUUUAUCCGACCUCAAACCGCAGAGGUGAUUGGGAAGUAACUUGAUUUCUAGAAAAGCCCCCACAUUAAACCGUUGACCUAACACAAGAAUGCACCAAGGAAAGACUAAAAGAGAGGGAAGGAACUCGGCAAACACUAGCCCCGCCUGUUUACCAAAAACAUCACCUCUUGCAAGAUAUUGUAUAAGAGGCCACGCCUGCCCGGUGACUAGAAGUUUAACGGCCGCGGUAUUAUGACCGUGCAAAGGUAGCGUAAUCACUUGUCUUUUAAAUGGAGACCUGUAUGAAAGGCGAGACGAGGGCAAAACUGUCUCCCUUCUCAUGUCAAUGAAACUGAUUUCCCCGUGCAGAAGCGGGGAUGCAGUCACAAGACGAGAAGACCCUGUGGAGCUUUAGACUUUAGUGAGCUUGCCCAAAGUAUAAACCCCAACUAUAUAAAAACACGGCUACCCUCCCCUAAAUGUCUUUGGUUGGGGCGACCGCGGAGAUAAACUAAACCACCGCGUGGAUAGGGGGUAACCCCUAUAAUUAAGAGCUACAGCUCUAUAUAUCAGGAUUCCUGACUUCUAAUGAUCCGGCCUGCCGAUCAACGAACCGAGUUACCCUAGGGAUAACAGCGCAAUCCUCUUUAAGAGCCCCUAUCGACAAGAGGGUUUACGACCUCGAUGUUGGAUCAGGAUAUCCUAAUGGUGUAGCCGCUAUUAAAGGUUCGUUUGUUCAACGAUUAAAAUCCUACGUGAUCUGAGUUCAGACCGGAGAGAUCCAGGUCAGUUUCUAUCUGUGAAACUAUCUUUUCUAGUACGAAAGGACCGAGAAGAUGGGGUCCAUGCUAUAGGUAUACCCUUUCCCCACCCACUGAACUUAGCUAAAGAGGCCUAAGGGGGGUGCCCAUGCGCCAGAAAGCAUGGCCU